UACGAAGGGGGGCUAGCGUUGUUCGGAUUUACUGGGCGUAAAGCGCACGUAGGCGGAUUGGUCAGUUAGAGGUGAAAUCCCGAAGCUCAACUUCGGAACUGCCUUUAAUACUGCCAGUCUAGAGUCCGGAAGAGGUAAGUGGAACUCCUAGUGUAGAGGUGGAAUUCGUAGAUAUUAGGAAGAACACCAGUGGCGAAGGCGGCUUACUGGUCUGGUACUGACGCUGAGGUGCGAAAGCGUGGGGAGCAAACAGG
This 254-nucleotide ribosomal RNA is filed under the name uncultured bacterium. RNAcentral describes it as "partial 16S ribosomal RNA". It matches the Rfam family "Bacterial small subunit ribosomal RNA", at positions 524 to 776 of the family's 1533-position model. The record is from RNAcentral.